This is a long non-coding RNA of Nylanderia fulva, 1007 nucleotides long. RefSeq lists it as uncharacterized. Lineage: Eukaryota; Metazoa; Arthropoda; Insecta; Hymenoptera; Formicidae. The record is from RefSeq and is a predicted model, not a curated record.
GUAUAUACUUUAAGCUAAUAAGAUUUUUUUCUGAUUCUGUUUAUUCAAAUUUGAUCACUUCUCGAUCACUUAAUCUAAGCAUGGAACAUCAGCAUUUCUUAGAAUAAUAAUUGUUUCCACUCGUAAAUCCAUUAAUCAGCUUUUGCACCACUCAAACGAUGAAUUUCACUAUUUUCAAGCACUACUUUAGACAGGACGAAUCUAUUUUCAAGCGUGGUCCAGCAUGCACAUGGCAUCACUCACCGAUAUUGACGAUCCUGAUGCCCUCGUCCUCCAGGAAUUUAAGAGCGACGGACACGUUCUCCAGCUUCUGGGAGCGAAAGGUGGGCCGUUGGUUGUGUUUUGGUAGCCGCUUCUGGGAGAGCACCUCGAUGAGGCUCACCAGCCGAAGACCAUCGGAUAGGUCGCAUUCCAGGUCGCCGAUGUGCUUGUUCACCGCCUUCAGUCGUUCGUUUGCCCAUCUCGUGAAGGUGUUCUGUUGAAUUCGCUUCCACUGCGCGUCUUCGGCCAGUUCGCGCUCGAACAUCUCGUCCUCCUCCUCCUCGGCGGAGUUCUCGCACUUAACUGACUUAUCAUUCUCAUUCAUUUUAUCGGCCGGUCCGCUGCUACGCUCUCACGGAUAAGGGUGGUGGGGUGCGCGCCCCUGUGUUGGUACCUGCGGAUCGUAGUGUUUGUAGUCGCGAGUGCUAUCAGUGACGAGAGCAAGAUGCGACUAUGUUGGUGACUCGAGAAAUAGCGAUGGGCACAAACUAAUAUCGGUAUCGAUACCACUCGGAAGUGCGUCGUGCCCAUCACUAGCGCGAGUACGCACACCUGUGAAAUAAUCGAAAAAGAGGUGGAUGUCGGUGAACCUACCUGCCGUGUGCCGGCGAACGAACGUUGACACUUCAGUCAAGAAGAUUCGAAAUUCCACUUCACUCAAACAUAAAACGAUCAAGCUGUCAUCGAACUUCAAGAUUUUACCACUUAUAUGUCUUUAUAUUAGAAACUUAAUUAAUAUUUCUUUG